RNAcentral lists this ribosomal RNA (279 nucleotides) under uncultured bacterium. RNAcentral describes it as "partial 16S ribosomal RNA". It matches the Rfam family "Bacterial small subunit ribosomal RNA", at positions 506 to 784 of the family's 1533-position model. The record is from RNAcentral.
UGCCAGCCGCCGCGGUAAGACGAACCGUCCAAACGUUAUUCGGUAUCACUGGGCUUAAAGAGUCCGUAGGCGGCCAUGUAGGUCAGAUGUGAAAUCCCACAGCUCAACUGUGGAACUGCGUUUGAAACCACAUGGCUUGAGGGAGAUAGAGGUGAGCGGAACAGAUGGUGGAGCGGUGAAAUGCGUUGAUAUCAUCUGGAACACCGGUGGCGAAAGCGGCUCACUGGACCGUAUCUGACGCUGAGGUGCGAAAGCUAGGGUAGCAAACGGGAUUAGAUA